GUGGCUGAGGGUGGGAUUAAAGAGCUGAGGUCUAUGGUGAUAGGUGGGAUGGGCUGAGAGUGGCAGAGGGGUGGGAUUAAAGAGUUGAGGUCUAUGGUGAUAGGUGGGAUGGGCUGAGAGUGGCUGAGGGGUGGGAUUAAAGAGCUGAGGUAUAUGGUGAUAGGUGGGAUGGGCUGAGAGUGGCUGAGGGGUGGGAUUAAAGAGCUG
Long non-coding RNA from Oncorhynchus keta (chum salmon), 207 nucleotides. RefSeq lists it as uncharacterized. Lineage: Eukaryota; Metazoa; Chordata; Actinopteri; Salmoniformes; Salmonidae. The transcript is spliced from 3 exons. The record is from RefSeq and is a predicted model, not a curated record.